GAGGCCUUUUGUUUCCCCCAAAGGGAACGCUUUUAACCAUUUCGGCUGCUGAAAUGGUUAAAGGUGUUCCCUUCGGGGGAAACAAAAGGCCU
Molecule: microRNA precursor, 92 nt
Filed under: Theobroma cacao (cacao)
Lineage: Eukaryota; Viridiplantae; Streptophyta; Magnoliopsida; Malvales; Malvaceae
Description: pre miRNA MIR477
Source: RNAcentral